RNAcentral lists this ribosomal RNA (478 nucleotides) under uncultured bacterium. RNAcentral describes it as "partial 16S ribosomal RNA". It matches the Rfam family "Bacterial small subunit ribosomal RNA", at positions 28 to 523 of the family's 1533-position model. The record is from RNAcentral.
GACGAACGCUGGCGGCGUGCUUAACACAUGCAAGUCGAACGGUAAGGCCCUUCGGGGUACACGAGUGGCGAACGGGUGAGUAACACGUGGGUGAUCUGCCCUGCACUUCGGGAUAAGCCUGGGAAACUGGGUCUAAUACCGGAUAGGACCACUGCCUGCAUGGGUGGUGGUGGAAAGCUUUUGCGGUGUGGGAUGGGCCCGCGGCCUAUCAGCUUGUUGGUGGGGUGAUGGCCUACCAAGGCGACGACGGGUGGCCGGCCUGAGAGGGUGACCGGCCACACUGGGACUGAGAUACGGCCCAGACUCCUACGGGAGGCAGCAGUGGGGAACAUCGCACAAUGGGCGCAAGCCUGAUGCAGCGACGCCGCGUGAGGGAUGACGGCCUUCGGGUUGUAAACCUCUUUCAGCACCGACGAAGCGCAAGUGACGGUAGGUGCAGAAGAAGGACCGGCCAACUACGUGCCAGCCGCCGCAGUAA